UUUUAUGAAUGAGCAAAAAAAAAGUAAUUUCUUGUGAUAGAAUUUAUGCCUGGUGAAGAUACCCUGAA
RNAcentral lists this microRNA precursor (68 nucleotides) under Marmota monax (woodchuck). The record is from RNAcentral. Lineage: Eukaryota; Metazoa; Chordata; Mammalia; Rodentia; Sciuridae.